UACAAACCGUGUGUGUGUGUGUGUGUGUGUGUGUGUGUGUGUGUGUGCAUAUGGAGAGCAGAGGACAGCCUUGGGUAUUGUUCCUGAGGCACUAUAGUCCUGCCCUAGAACUUGCCAGCUAGGCUGUGCUGGCCAGGUCCCAAGCCCCAGAGACCUAUCAUUCUCCACUUCUUCAGAGCUGAGAUUAUCACACAUAGGACCACAUCCACUUGGGAAUGGACCUCAGAUCUGGGUGUUUGUGAACAGGUACUUUACCAGCUGUGCCAUCUCAACAAUGUAAGUUUGGUUUUGAUUUCAGGGUUUUUUUGUUUGUUUGUUUUUGUUUCAUUAUUGUUGAUUUGAUAAGAAAGUGCAGAUUACCUUUUCCUUAAAAGAUAAUGAGGUGGGAUGAGGUGAGGACAUAGAUCGAAACUGGAAGAGAAAACAGAAAAUCAGGCACCCAGCUUUAUUGCUACAAAUGUCCACAGUGGGUGCAUAGGUCUAGUUUUGAACCUAGAUGGGCUGGUGUUGGCUUAGCAGUGUUUAUCCUGUCUGGCAUAACUAUCUCAUACAGCUGGUGUAAGGUCUACCACUGCCUCUGUACUCCCUUGAAUUGUACAUUGAAACCCACCCUAAUUCUCAUGAUUUUGCUCAUCUCACUGAAGGAAACUGGUUUGUCACUAGUUUACUGAGUGCCUGCUUUCUGCCUGCUUUGUUGCCACAUCUAGGUAUCAGAAGAUACCCAAAGAGAAGCAGCCCGGUUCUCAUAAUAUGUUAUAGCAUACUGAGAGAGAAAGCUAAGAAUUCUACUCUUGCAAAUAAUCCUGGAGUGAGAACAAAAUGCCAGGUGAACGCAACCACUGUAUCAUCUAAGACUGCCUUCCUUUGAUUCACCGAUCACCUUGCUGUCAUGUGUACGGGAACUUUUCAUCAGGUCAAAGGAUUUGGGCUUCAAAUUCUCCAUGCAGAGUGACUUGUUUUCAUUGACCUGGCUCCUCUGUCUGAAAGCCUGGAACACUUCUCAGCCAUAUGAAGGACUAGCAUUCAGCUGAGACAUUCUCACUGGCUUCUUCAGAAGAACAUUUUGUCGACUGUGAGAUUAAUUGAAACGAGACUCCUACAACAUCAAUUUUUCUAGACUCUUUCUUCUGAUAGAGUAAUAUUGUGAUAUCGCCUAUCUAAAACAAAACCAAACUAAAAUAAACUCAGUGUCUCAAAUAUAAGCA
This 1205-nucleotide long non-coding RNA is filed under the name Mus spicilegus (steppe mouse). RNAcentral's name for it is "lncRNA (ENSMSIG00000013791.1)". Lineage: Eukaryota; Metazoa; Chordata; Mammalia; Rodentia; Muridae. The record is from RNAcentral.